CAGGACCCAUCUACAAGCUAGGCGGUUUUGGAUUUGUGUUUCAAAAGGGUUAUAGUUUGGCAUCAGACAUAUCCCAAGCAAUUUAUAGAUUAAGUGAGAGUGGGGAAUUGCAGCGAAUGGANNNNNNNNNNNNNCCUCUACCAAUUGCUCUGUUUCAUUAUCUGAUGCCAAUGUGACCUCAAGUUUAGGACCAGAACCAUUUUUAGGAUUGUUCAUUAUGUCAGGAGGUGCAUCCGCAAUUGCUUUGCUAAUCACAUUGAUAUGUCUAUUGAGACGACAUUGGGACAGAAUAAUCAACAUUCAAGCAGCAUUUGCGGGUAUAAAACUUUGUCCAUUGUUGGUUAACAGAAAACAGAUAACUGAGCUUUCAAUUCAAUUGGAGACAGAGUAGCUCCGCUCCUCGACCAGAACCCAGAAGGCAUUGCA
Molecule: unclassified non-coding RNA, 426 nt
Filed under: Hevea brasiliensis (rubber tree)
Lineage: Eukaryota; Viridiplantae; Streptophyta; Magnoliopsida; Malpighiales; Euphorbiaceae
Source: RNAcentral